RNAcentral lists this ribosomal RNA (465 nucleotides) under uncultured bacterium. RNAcentral's name for it is "partial 16S ribosomal RNA". It matches the Rfam family "Bacterial small subunit ribosomal RNA", at positions 28 to 507 of the family's 1533-position model. The record is from RNAcentral.
GACGAACGCUGGCGGCGUGCUUAACACAUGCAAGUCGAACGGAAAGGCCCCCUUGUGGGGUACUCGAGUGGCGAACGGGUGAGUAACACGUGAGUAACCUACCCUUGACUUUGGGAUAACUUCAGGAAACUGGGGCUAAUACCGGAUAGGAGCUCCUGCUGCAUGGUGGGGGUUGGAAAGUUUCGGCGGUUGGGGAUGGACUCGCGGCUUAUCAGCUUGUUGGUGGGGUAGUGGCUCACCAAGGCUUUGACGGGUAGCCGGCCUGAGAGGGUGACCGGCCACAUUGGGACUGAGAUACGGCCCAGACUCCUACGGGAGGCAGCAGUGGGGAAUAUUGCACAAUGGGCGGAAGCCUGAUGCAGCAACGCCGCGUGCGGGAUGACGGCCUUCGGGUUAUAAACCGCUUUCGCCUGUGACGAAGCGUGAGUGACGGUAAUGGGUAAAGAAGCACCGGCUAACUACGUG